AAGAAAGCCCAAAGACAAAACCAGAGGCAACUGGCUGCUGCAUCGCCCACCUAGUGGCAGUAGUGUGAGCUAUGGACAAAAGAUCUAAGUCUCCAGGACAAAGAGUUGUGCAGCUGCUCAUUUUCCUGUUGACUUCUGUCUAAGACUUGGAGAUGUUUGUAAGAUUGGGACCUACCUACAGAGCUCUCUGGAACUGGACAACAGACAGAUCUGGUGAAUUAUAAUUAUGGAGUUCUCCAGAAGAACUUCCUCUCAAGGAUGCACAAUUUUCCAGUUAGUCACAAGGCAGCAUCACAAGCAAAAUGGGGCUCUCUCUUUAUUUAACAAGGCCUAUCUUCUACACACAGUUUCUGCAAUUUCCGCUUCUCCUUAUGUGUAUCUUUCUCUGCCCUUUUGUAUGUUCCACUUAUGUAGGAUUGUUUGCCCCACAGUCACACACAAUACAAUCAUCAUGCUAACCCCCUCCCCAAAAACUCCCUACUCCCUUUUCAUCUCUCCCAUUGCUCCUCCACACUGGUCCUGCGCUGGCCUGUUUGCUCCCUGAGUAAAUUAGAUCCCUGCAUGUGCUGCUCAUCUUCCCUCCCUCCACCUUCCACCAUACUCUCUUCAUGUCCACAUCUGCCUCUUGGCAAAUGCCCUGUGGAAGAGAGAUUUUUCCCAGGCUCUCCUCCCUUGUAGGUCUCUUUGUGCCUCCGCAUCCUGAGUUUCCUCUGACUCUUGUUUCUUUCUGCUUCUUGUGACAGCUAUGGUUACAGCUAACAAGCAUGGGAGGAAGGAUCUGAGGGAAAGUUGUGCUUUUGGUUCACUAAAUCCUUAGAUUUGAUUUGGGUAGUCAGAAAGUGCUAAAAAGUUUGUUUCAAUGGAACAUCCUGCAGUCCCAAAUGGGGUAAACUUAUCUUGUUUUUCAUCUGCUGUCAUGGUUAACUGGCAACUUCCAGGUACAAGGUGACUGUCUGGCAUCUCAGGUGCACACAUGAAGGCAAUUUCAGAAAGAAUGCCUAUGGAUUACAGACCAUUCAGCUGAGUUUUAUCUGGGGCUUUCUGGCACGGAAUAUGUACCAGCAUCUUAGAUCAAUUCUGGCACAUUAUUUUAAAAGUUUUUUGUUCCUGAGUUCCUUGGUACCUGAUCAUUCCAAUAUUUUCUGCCUUACAAAGUCACAGGAAAACAGGUUUGGAGCUGAGUAUUUUCAAUCACCACUGACUUGGUGACAGACACUAAACUCAUUUCACUUAGGAUUAUAGGUUGAACUCAAAUUGGGAUCCCUGAAGAGAAAGACCAGUCCUUUAUCCAGUACCUUAAGGAAAACAUUUCUUAUUUCCAUUAACAACCAGAAAAGGAAAGACAGUGCAACAGCUGGAAGAGCACUGCAAAUAUCAGGGUUACAAAGAGUAACCCAGAAACCUUUAAAAUAAUUUAAAGUGGUGAUAAAACCAGUAACACACUGCACUUCUAUUAAUGCAGUAAUCCUUAACCCUUGAACCUAACUUGUACUUACACUAAGAAGUCAGAAGAACUGUUUUUACUUGAUCUACCAAGGCAAUUUCCCAUAGUUUGAUUGGAAAUAGUGCUGAUGAUUUUCUCAUUUAAGUUAUCUACAAAGCACUAAAAAAAAGUGACUCUGCUGGAAUUAUCCUUCUAAGAAAAUAAGAAAAAAAUAGAAAUUUCUUACAACUAAGAAAUGGAUCAAGAUAACAUUGGUCUGUGAGAUUUAAAUCUAUCAAAAUAUGUGAGCAUACCACAGAUAUGAUUUCUUCAGUUCUCUGCAAGGUAACCAAAGCAAUUCCAAGAAGUCUUAUUUUAUUAGAACUCAAAUUUAUUAAGUAUGACCUAUCUAAGAUCAUAGUGGGCAGACAACUACCUUGGACGUGGGGUUAAGAGAAGAUAAAAUUCAAAAGUUUGAAAGUAAGUAAAGGAUAAGCAAGAUUCUUUGAAUGAUCAACAGCACUCCACAGGCACACAGAGACACAAAAACAGCUAAAAAGGCAAGGACAAAAUUAAACAGUAAUGAUGAUUUAUAGUAAGAUACUCUGAGACAUGAUAGAAGUCUCAGUACACCAAAAGGAAAAUCUUGUUUGCUCAAAUUAUUUGUUUCUUCUGUCUAAUGAAUGUAAUUCUAAUAUACAAGUGAUAACACUGGCAUUUCUUUGAAAUGUUGAUUCAGUUUAAUUAUGAAAAUCACCAAGGUAUUUUCUAGCUGCUGCAUCACUCCCUGUACUAAGAUUAAUCACAUCAACAUCAUUCAUUUAAUCUUCAAAGAGGAAGCAGUUGUCCACAAAAGCCUUCAAAUAGCUUCAUUAGUGCAAUUUUUCAGUCUCAAACACUUAGCUAGCAGCAUAUGAUUGAGAGUAAGGUCAUUAUAUUCAUCUAUUUCCUAAUCUAAUUUUUGUAAUGUUUCUACAUUUAAUGUAGGAAUGUGUAAGUGUGGAGUUUUUGCCUUCUCUUUGUUUGUAAAACAGCUCAAAACAUGAAGAAAAUAAUGAUUCUAAUUAUAAAAUAUUUGAUUGCUAUGGUUUUAAGUCAUGAAAUUUAAUGUACAGGCCCAUGGCCAGUUCAUUUUUUCUUUUUUCUUUUUUUAAUGUGAAAAGAAUUUAGUGUAGAAAUGCUCUAUUUUCUUGUCUCUUGUAGACAAAGAAAAACUUAGCGCAUGAGAGACGUGUCUGACUUCAGAAACUGGAAUUACAAAAGUCACUGCAAAUAAAAUUUCUUUGGUGUUUUAAAAUGCAAGAUGAAUUCUAUAUUUAAAAACAGAAGCCUCACUUAUGUUUCUCUAAUAAGACCCAUUCUUAACAUCCUUUUCUUUGAUGAAAGCAUUAAUAUUCCCUUUCCUUAUUGGAAACCAACAGGUAUCAGAGUCCCACAAAAUAACACUGUAUUGUUGAUGCACCGAUCAAAUCAUUCUUUUAAUCAUUAAAAAUUAUGCAGUUGCAAUCAAAAACAUUCUCAGAGAGACUUAGAGCAGAGCCUGGCACCAGCAGGGUGUGGUGAUAUAGUCAUUUGUAAUUACUGUACCUACUCUGAAGGGUUAUAAAAUGUGUCAGAAAGUAAAAUUUGCUGAGCCCCAUUACCAAGAAGCAAAACUUACUAACUGGUGCUUUAAACUUUGCAUCUUAUAAAGGAAUGAUUUAUUUGACUUUUGACUGGUCCACUUGCAGAAAUCAUUACAUUGCAAUAUUCAGUGACUGUGCAAAGGGGAAAAAAAGGAUAAAUCAUACAGAGACAUUCUCAAGUUAACAUCUGGCGAGCAUAUAAGGCCAAAUCUGUAAGGCAAGAUCUGCCUACGAUGGCAUAAAUAAUGGUGUGUAUUUGCAGUUUAGGCCAAGGGAUAAGGGCUUUUGAUCAUAAAAAUAGUUCAUAACCAAUUGCAAUGAGAUGAUGCAAUUGUAAAAAUUUUGUUUCCACAAACUGUAUAAAGACAAUUAUGAUAUUUUAAAUAUUAACCCCUUUUAAAUUGUUUUCAAAUAAAAUUAUAACGGCUUUUUGUAAAACCAAAUUCUAAUUGACCCAAUCAAAUUUUAAGAUAAAUUAUGAAGGUGAGAAUAACACCAGCUUGAAAAUAUCAGUUUGCCAUUUGUCCAGCUACAUGCAAAGUCACCAGAAUAAAAUGGAAUUAUAUGAAAGAGGAGCAAUAAACUGCAUUAUUUACAUGUGUUCAAUAUUAUAAUCAGAGGUAAAAAGUGUGUUUUUAAAUAUUUGUACACACAAAGUUUUAUUAUCUACUUUACAUAAUACUGUGUUAGACACACUGGGAAAUGCAAAGAUAGAAAAGAUAAACUAUCUUCUCCUGAGAAGCCUUUACUAUGGUAGAAAAGAUAGGAGCACAUGUCAUUACAAUAAGAGGAAAUGUGAGAUAAGUGACCAAAGAGGAUUUUUGUCUUAAAAAAUCCUAAGUUUUUAUCUAAGAGUUUACAAGUAGAUUCUUCUGAGCCAGAACACCAUGGAAGGUUUCCUGGCAUGAUGACAUAUGAGAUUCAAGGAAUGGGUAUUAUGUUCAAAGCUCAAGACUGGGGAGAGAAGAUUACAUUUUACAGUUUAAAAUAUUUUAUUUACCUUUCCCAACACUUAUGCAUUUGUAUCUUCUGCAGCGAAUGAUAAAAUUU
RNAcentral lists this long non-coding RNA (4098 nucleotides) under Homo sapiens (human). Its description in RNAcentral is "HSALNT0204076". Lineage: Eukaryota; Metazoa; Chordata; Mammalia; Primates; Hominidae. The record is from RNAcentral.